RNAcentral lists this ribosomal RNA (2264 nucleotides) under Nephila pilipes (giant wood spider). RNAcentral's name for it is "partial 28S ribosomal RNA". The stretch from base 396 to 2264 matches the Rfam family "Eukaryotic large subunit ribosomal RNA", at positions 1 to 1657 of the family's 3401-position model. The record is from RNAcentral. Lineage: Eukaryota; Metazoa; Arthropoda; Arachnida; Araneae; Nephilidae.
AUGACAACUCUGAGCAGUGGACCACGCGGCUCACGGGUCGAUGAAGAACGCAGCUUGCUGCGAUAUUUGGUGUGAAUUGCAGGACACAUUGAACAUUGAACACCGAACUUUUGAACGCGCAUAGCGGCCGACGGUCUUCUGGGACUAGAGGCCUCGCCUGUCUGAGGGUCGUAUGAAACUUAGGCCCAUACUCUGGAUCCAUUGGCCGCGUCGGGUGACUCAACCCGUCGGCUUAAGUGCGAAAGGAAUUCUUCCGAGCCGUGGGAGUAGUCUCGAGUAUCCGGUGUCCGGGGGAGAGUUCCCCCUCAAGGCCCUCUCCGGUUCUUCCGGCUGCUCGCUCGAGGCGUUCCCCAAGAAUCGGAAAAAGGUACCUUAAAUUGAAAUUAUUUUUGAAACGAUCUCAGAUAGACGAGACUACCCGCUGAAUUUAAGCAUAUUAAUAAGCGGAGGAAAAGAAAAUAACUGUGAUUCCCCUAGUAGCAGCAAGCGAACAGGGAGGAGCCCAGCCUUGAAUCCUUGCCUCGUGCAGGGAAAUGUGGCGUUUGUGCGAGUCGGGAGCAUUUUCUCAGAGGGUGUGAGGCACGUCCUCGCGCGCCGUGGUUCUCUCUCGGUACGCCCGCGAGUUGGGUUGCUUGGGAGUGCAGCCCUAAGAUGCAUGGUAAAUUCCACCCAAGGCUAAAUACGACCGUGAGACCGAUAGCAAACAAGUACCGUGAGGGAAAGUUGAAAAGAACUUUGAAGAGAGAGUUCAAUAGAACGUGAAACUGCUCAGAGGGAAACAGGUGGGCCCUCGAAGUCCAGUGUCUGGGGCGUUCAGCCCCGGUGUCGUCCGCUUCCGCCGAAGCGAGUGAAGGAGCGCCCCUCACGUGGGGGUGCCGUCCUCGCCCCCAGGAGGUGGUUCGGCCCGGGUGCACUCGUCCCCUUCCAGAGGACACCGCACCCCGUUCGUAUUUUGUGGGCAGUGAUUGUGGAUACUUUUAUGUGGACUCCGAAUGAGGAUAUUCCGAUCUCUUCCGCCCGGGUCCGCAGCGGACAGUGGUUUCCGACUCGUCCCUCCUAAUUGGUAUUUUUGGUGGUGCAGGUGGGUUCUUGGGUAGCAGUGCGCACGCUCUCUGAGCGUGUUCGGUGACUCGCCUCGCCCGCGCCGCUUUGUGAUUUAUUUGGAGGCCGACGGUGUUGCAGUGCAGUAGGUCGGUGCCCCACCCGACCCAUCUUGAAACAUGGACCAAGGAGUCUAACAUGUGUGCGAGUCACUGGGUCUCGAAGAAGCCCACGGGUGCAAAGAACUUUAUUAUUGUCGGGAUCCCCCGCAUAUAAGAGAGGGGCGCACCGAUGGCCUGCCACUGUGUUAGGACUAGAGGCGAAGCCUGAGCUCACACGUUGGGACACGAAAGAUGGUGAACUAUGCCUAGACAGGACGAAGACAGGGGAAACCCUGUUGGAAGUCCGAAGCGGUUCUGACGUGCAAAUCGAUCGCCUGAUCCGCGUAUAGGGGCGAAAGACUAAUCAAGCAUCUAGUAGCUGGUUCCCUCCGAAGUUUCCCUCAGGAUAGCUGGCGCUCGAUCAAAAUUCAGUCACGAUCGGUAAAGCGAAUGAUUAGAGUUCUUGGGGCCGAAACGACCUCAACCUAUUCUCAUACUUUCAAUGGUCGUAGAGUCCUUUCUCGACUUGAAGGUUGGACGGUGGAUGAGAGUGCCUAGUGGGCCACUUUUGGUAACAGAACUGGCGCUGUGGGAUGAACCAAACGCCGGGUGAAGGCGCCCGAUGCAGAGGCGCUCAUGAGACCCAUAAAAGGUGUUGGUUGCUCUAGAAAGCAGGAUGGUGGCCAUGGAUGUCGGCAUCCGCUAAGGAGUGUGUAACAACUCGCCUGCCAAAGCAACUAGCCCUUAAAAUGGAUGGAGCUUCCGCGUCGAGCCCAUACCCGGCCGGUUCUCUAAGUUAUUCUAUUUAUUAGAGAACCGAGAAGGAGGGUCGCGGCGGUGGCGUGGAAGGGCGUGGCGCGAGCCUGCCUGGAGCCUCCGCCGGUGCAGAUCUUGGUUGUAGUACUAAAUACUCAAGGGAGAACCUUGAGGACUGAAGUAGGAGAAGGGUUCCAUGUCAAUAGCGUUUGCACAUGGGUGAGUCGGUCCUUAGAUAACGGAGAGAUCCGUGCUAGGCGAGACUUUACGAGUCACGCUAUGGACGAAAGGUGAUCGGGUUAAGAUUCCCGAACCCGGACGCGAAAUAAAUGAGACCUUGGUCUCUGGAGUGGUAACGCAAACGAU